ACUCCUCGCUCCGCUCCUUCCUCCGCGGGAAGGGCAGGCCCCGGAGGCAGCGAGCGCCCCGGGGGUGGCCGGGCAGCCGGAUGCUCCCGGGGUUGCGGGCUGUGGCCCCGGGGGCUGAGGGCGGCGCGGGUGCGGCGGAAGCAGGGAAGCCGCGAACCGGCCUUCUGGCUGGCCACAGCGCCCUGCACGGACGAUCAGUGAAUGGAGAUUACUCAAGUAUUUAUCGAGAACUUGCAGUGGGCUAGGCACAGUUCAGGUAGAUCAACAAACCGAAAGACCCUGCCCUAGGGGAGCUUUCGCUCCAAUGCGGGGAGAGGGUGGAUGAUUGCAGUUUUGCCCAGUAAUUUUUGGGACCCUCAUGCCACCAUUAAUUAGCUACACACAUUUCACCGAAAGUCUACCUUACAUAUUAAUCAGAAGAAGUGGAAGAAUAAACACAGAAGAAGCAAAAAAGGAAGGAACUUUCUCACUGAAAGUUUCUAUUUAAUAUUAAGUCUUAAAAGUACUCCUGGAAGGACAAAAGGUGUUCUUAAUAAAUUAUAUUCGCAAAUAUUGGAUUUAAUCCUACCAGUAAUGAAGCAGUCAGUUACUUUCUAGAUGUGCAGAAAUACGUAAUGAACAAAAAAAACUAAUUCCUAUUCCAUUUUUUAUUAGGUCCACAGUUAUUUCACUUCUAAAUAAAUAUGGUUUUUUAAAAGUGGCACGCGGUGGAAUGUAAUUGAGACAGGAUGGAGUUCCUAGAGAAAUUUUACUUCCUCAAUCUGCACUCCACCUUACUUAAAAUACAGUCUUGGGUCUGUAAUUCCCUUAUCUGACUCUCAAGGAAAUGACAAAGUAAUGCCUAGAUUGGACUAAACCUCAUUUAACUUCAAGGCUGACCUUUCUCAAAGUUGAACCUUCGUCUUGUGAGGAACAGAAAGAUCAAGAACUCUGAAGCACCUCGACUUUCCACCUGUGAAGAUGUGUUCAAAUUUGCAACGUGCGGCCACACCUAUGAGGCAGGAGUGCAGUGGCGAGAUCUGGACUCACUGCAACCUCUGCCUCCUGGCUUCAAGCAAUUCUCAUGCUUCAGCCUGUAGCUGGAACUACAGGUCACUCCCUCUGGAGGAAACCAGCUGCCACUUUGUGAGGAUACUCAUAGUCCUGUGGAGGCAUAUCCUCCAUAUGGCUGAGACCUCCUGCGAACAACCAUCACUGACUUGCCAGACAUGAGUGUGCCACCUUGGAAGCAGAUUUUCCAGCCCCAGUUAAGCCUUCAGAUGACAUCAGCCCCUGCUAAUCUCUUGACUACAACCUCAUGAGAGACCCUGAGCCAGAACUAGCCAGGCUUACCCCUCAUGGUUACAAAGUGGCUGCAACAGCUCCAGGUGUUCUAUCCUUUAACACAGAAUAACUCAAACAACAAGACCCAAUAUUCAGACAAGAAGGAAAGGGACUUUUGGAGAGUGAAGAAAACUUUCCUAGAAACCUCAAACUUCUCCCCAUGCCUUAUUGGCCAGAUUGUAUCCCAUGCCCAUUUCUAAACCAAUCAUUGGCAAAGUGAGUGGAAUUGACGUGAUUAGAUUAACUUUACCAAGAAUGCAUCCUCAGAGAGGCUGAGAAAAAGUCCAGCCUCCUUUGAAGAGCCUGGCUACCUUUCACCUGAACAAAACAAGAAUUCUGAUGAAAAAUGGAGAAUGUAUGUGGAGCAGGCACCCGGAGUGUCUAUGCCAGGAUUUUUUUUCAGUGCGUUUCACCGGUUAUAUUUUUGUCUCUUUACCUUACAAGAUAUGUGGCACGUUUGCCUAAAACAAGCCUUGCUUUCUGAUUUCUGUGCACUAGGCACUUAAACCUUGCAAAUGUCGCUUACCUAACAGUCACUGUCAAGGAGUACCUGGCUAAAGAAUCUCCAGCUAGACAAAGUAGAAGUGUCUGUGCUCUGGCAGUUGAAUAUAUUGUAUCAGGCUCAACAGCACCUUUCACCAAAGGAUGAGACUUCACAACCAUUAGAUCUUCUUUUAUUUUGUUUUUAUUAAAAAAAAAA
RNAcentral lists this long non-coding RNA (2023 nucleotides) under Homo sapiens (human). RNAcentral's name for it is "non-protein coding TRAM2-AS1:31". The record is from RNAcentral. Lineage: Eukaryota; Metazoa; Chordata; Mammalia; Primates; Hominidae.